CACUGCGCUGGUUGGACUUUGUUUAACUGCAGCGGCGCAGGGUGAGUCCCCUACUGUUGGAUCAGGUGCUGAAACAGGGAAAGGGUGGCGAAGUUAGCGCCCUUGCAUCGAACGGCUGACGGGU
Molecule: non-coding RNA, 124 nt
Filed under: unclassified sequences
Description: Betaproteobacteria-1 RNA
Rfam family: Betaproteobacteria-1 RNA
Source: Rfam by way of RNAcentral